RNAcentral lists this non-coding RNA (25 nucleotides) under Cricetulus griseus (Chinese hamster). Lineage: Eukaryota; Metazoa; Chordata; Mammalia; Rodentia; Cricetidae. The record is from RNAcentral.
CCUACUGUGCGCUAUGGUUAGACGA